This 76-nucleotide transfer RNA is filed under the name Candidatus Chaera renei. RNAcentral's name for it is "bacterium AMD01 tRNA-Thr". It matches the Rfam family "tRNA". From Rfam's summary of the family: Transfer RNA (tRNA) molecules are approximately 80 nucleotides in length. The record is from RNAcentral. Lineage: Bacteria; Candidatus Saccharimonadota; Candidatus Saccharimonadia; Saccharimonadales (SeqCode); Saccharimonadaceae (SeqCode).
GCCGAUGUAGCUCAGUUGGCAGAGCGGCGCUUUCGUAAAGCGUAGGUCAGCGGUUCGAUCCCGCUCAUCGGCUCCA